Molecule: ribosomal RNA, 253 nt
Filed under: uncultured bacterium
Lineage: Bacteria
Description: partial 16S ribosomal RNA
Rfam family: Bacterial small subunit ribosomal RNA
Source: RNAcentral
UACGUAGGGGGCUAGCGUUGUCCGGAUUUAUUGGGCGUAAAGAGCGUGUAGGCGGCCAGGUAGGUCGGCUGUGAAAACUCGAGGCUCAACCUCGAGACGUCGGCGGAAACCAUCUGGCUAGAGUCCGGAAGAGGAGAGUGGAAUUCCUGGUGUAGCGGUGAAAUGCGCAGAUAUCAGGAAGAACACCCGUGGCGAAGGCGGCUCUCUGGGACGGUACUGACGCUGAGACGCGAAAGCGUGGGGAGCGAACAGG